RNAcentral lists this transfer RNA (72 nucleotides) under bacterium. RNAcentral describes it as "tRNA-Ile". It matches the Rfam family "tRNA". From Rfam's summary of the family: Transfer RNA (tRNA) molecules are approximately 80 nucleotides in length. Their secondary structure includes four short double-helical elements and three loops (D, anti-codon, and T loops). Further hydrogen bonds mediate the characteristic L-shaped molecular structure. tRNAs have two regions of fundamental functional importance: the anti-codon, which is responsible for specific mRNA codon recognition, and the 3' end, to which the tRNAs corresponding amino acid is attached (by aminoacyl-tRNA synthetases). tRNAs cope with the degeneracy of the genetic code in two manners: having more than one tRNA (with a specific anti-codon) for a particular amino acid; and 'wobble' base-pairing, i.e. permitting non-standard base-pairing at the 3rd anti-codon position. The record is from RNAcentral. RNAcentral also lists the same sequence under 1 other name.
GCGGCUGUAGCUCAGUGGCAGAGCGGGUGUCUUAUAAACACCAGGUCGGAGGUUCGAAUCCUCCCAGCCGCA